This 628-nucleotide ribosomal RNA is filed under the name uncultured bacterium. RNAcentral describes it as "bacterial SSU rRNA". It matches the Rfam family "Bacterial small subunit ribosomal RNA", at positions 221 to 864 of the family's 1533-position model. The record is from RNAcentral.
UGGGAGGGGCCCGCGGCCUAUCAGGUAGUUGGUGAGGUAACGGCUCACCAAGCCGACGACGGGUAGGGGGCGUGAGAGCGUGGCCCCCCACACGGGAACUGAGACACGGUCCCGACGCCUACGGGCGGCAGCAGUGAGGAAUCUUGCCCAAUGGGGGAAACCCUGAGGCAGCGACACCGCGUGCGGGAUGAAGGCCUUCGGGUCGUAAACCGCUUUUCUGGGGGACGAGUAAGGACGGUACUCCAGGAAUAAGUCCCGGCUAACUACGUGCCAGCAGCCGCGGUAAAACGUAGGGGGCGAGCGUUAUCCGGAAUCACUGGGCGUAAAGGGCGUCUAGGCGGCAGCCUAAGUCCCGUGUGAAAGCUCCCGGCUCAACUGGGAGAGGGCAUGGGAGACUGGGCAGCUAGAGACUCGGAGGGGGGUGUGGAAUUCCCGGUGGAGUGGUGGAAUGCGUUGAGAUCGGGAGGAACACCAGUAGCGAAGGCGGCACCCUGGCCGAGAUCUGACGCUGAAGCGCGAGAGCGUGGGGAGCGAACGGGAUUAGAUACCCCGGUAGUCCACGCCGUAAACGAUGACAACUAGGUGUUGGGUGUCCAAGGAUGCUCAGUACCGCAGCAAACGCGAUAAG